AGUGAACGCUGGCGGUAGGCCUAACACAUGCAAGUCGAACGGCAGCACAGUAAGAGCUUGCUCUUACGGGUGGCGCGUGGCGGACGGGUGAGGAAUACAUCGGAAUCUACUUUUUCGUGGGGGAUAACGUAGGGAAACUUACGCUAAUACCGCAUACGACCUACUGGUGAAAGCAGGGGAUCUUCGGACCUUGCGCGAUUGAAUGAGCCGAUGUCGGAUUAGCUAGUUGGCGGGGUAAAGGCCCACCAAGGCGACGAUCCGUAGCUGGUCUGAGAGGAUGAUCAGCCACACUGGAACUGAGACACGGUCCAGACUCCUACGGGAGGCAGCAGUGGGGAAUAUUGGACAAUGGGCGCAAGCCUGAUCCAGCCAUACCGCGUGGGUGAAGAAGGCCUUCGGGUUGUAAAGCCCUUUUGUUGGGAAAGAAAAGCAGCAGGUUAAUACCCCGCUGUUCUGACGGUACCCAAAGAAUAAGCACCGGCUAACUUCGUG
This 492-nucleotide ribosomal RNA is filed under the name uncultured bacterium. RNAcentral's name for it is "partial 16S ribosomal RNA". It matches the Rfam family "Bacterial small subunit ribosomal RNA", at positions 29 to 507 of the family's 1533-position model. The record is from RNAcentral.